GAUCCUGGCUCAGAACGAACGCUGGCGGCGCGUCUUAAGCAUGCAAGUCGGACGGCAAGGGUUGUGCUUGCACAACUCCUAGAGUGGCGGACUGGUGAGUAACGCGUGGGUGACCUGCCCUCGAGAUGGGGAUAGCCAUUAGAAAUAGUGGAUAAUACCGAGUACGCUCAUGACCCUGUGGGGAUAUGAGGAAAACAGGCUACGGCCUGGCUCGAGGAUGGGCCCGCGUCCCAUUAGCUAGUUGGUGAGGUAACGGCCCACCAAGGCGACGAUGGGUAUCCGGCCUGAGAGGGUGUACGGACACAUUGGGACUGAGAUACGGCCCAAACUCCUACGGGAGGCAGCAGUGGGGAAUAUUGGGCAAUGGAGGAAACUCCUUACCCAGCAAUGCCGCGUGAGUGAAGAAGGUCUUCGGAUUGUAAAGCUCUUUGAUUGGGGACGAAUAAAUGACGGUACCCAAGGAACAAGCCCCGGCUAACUAUGUGCCAGCAGCCGC
This 496-nucleotide ribosomal RNA is filed under the name uncultured bacterium. RNAcentral's name for it is "bacterial SSU rRNA". It matches the Rfam family "Bacterial small subunit ribosomal RNA", at positions 15 to 518 of the family's 1533-position model. The record is from RNAcentral.